GGACUCUAUCUGUUAUUAGUUUUGUGUGUGCGUUUGACAUUUUAUACAUUAAUGUCAUUCGCAUGCAAAGAUGUCAACCUACAAAGGCAAAGCAACUGAGUUUCAUGCUAGAAGUAAACUUAAGUAUUUGUGAAUCGCAAGUUCCCAGCAAAGGCAAAGCAAUGGUAGUGACCAUGGAAGCCGCGGUCUUAUCCCUUUGCC
Molecule: long non-coding RNA, 201 nt
Filed under: Prunus persica (peach)
Lineage: Eukaryota; Viridiplantae; Streptophyta; Magnoliopsida; Rosales; Rosaceae
Description: long non-coding RNA (PPER_LNC008488)
Source: RNAcentral